Molecule: ribosomal RNA, 337 nt
Filed under: uncultured Candidatus Saccharibacteria bacterium
Lineage: Bacteria; Candidatus Saccharimonadota
Description: bacterial SSU rRNA
Rfam family: Bacterial small subunit ribosomal RNA
Source: RNAcentral
UAGGGAAUCUUUCACAAUGGGCGAAAGCCUGAUGGAGCAACGCCGCGUGCAGGAUGAAGGCCUUCGGGUUGUAAACUGCUUUUAUAAGCGAGAAAUAUGAUGGUAACUUAUGAAUAAGGAUCGGCUAACUACGUGCCAGCAGCCGCGGUCAUACGUAGGAUCCGAGCAUUAUCCGGAGUGACUGGGUGUAAAGAGUUGCGUAGGUGGCAUAAUAAGUAGCUAGUGAAAUCUGGUGGCUCAACCAUUCAGACUAUUAGCUAAACUGUUAAGCUCGAGACCGUUAGGGGUAACUGGAAUUUCUAGUGUAGGAGUGAAAUCCGUAGAUAUUAGAAAGAAC